This 193-nucleotide small nuclear RNA is filed under the name Phaseolus vulgaris (common bean). RNAcentral's name for it is "snRNA U2". It matches the Rfam family "U2 spliceosomal RNA". Rfam says of the family: U2 is a small nuclear RNA (snRNA) component of the spliceosome (involved in pre-mRNA splicing). The record is from Rfam by way of RNAcentral. Lineage: Eukaryota; Viridiplantae; Streptophyta; Magnoliopsida; Fabales; Fabaceae.
AUACCUUUCUCGGCCUUUUGGCUAAGAUCAAGUGUAGUAUCUGUUCUUAUCAGUUUAAUAUCUGAUAUGUGGAUCAUUGGUUCACACGAUAUUAAAUUUAUUUUUAAGGGAGGGGACCAAUUGCGGUAGCUUGCUACUGAGUUCUUCAAGCAUUGUCUUUGUUUGCACUACUGCAAAGACUGGUGCAUCCCAC